Molecule: ribosomal RNA, 399 nt
Filed under: uncultured bacterium
Lineage: Bacteria
Description: partial 16S ribosomal RNA
Rfam family: Bacterial small subunit ribosomal RNA
Source: RNAcentral
CCUACGGGUGGCAGCAGUGGGGGAUAUUGCACAAUGGGGGGAACCCUGAUGCAGCGACGCCGCGUGGGUGAAGAAGGGCCUCGGCGCGUAAAGCCCUGUCAGCAGGGAAGAAAAGGACGGUACCUGAAGAAGAAGCCCCGGCUACCUACGGGCCAGCAGCCGCGGUAAUACGUAGGGGGCAAGCGUUAUCCGGAUUUACUGGGUGUAAAGGGGGCGCAGACGGCGAUGCAAGCCAGGAGUGAAAGCCCGGGGCCCCACCCCGGGACUGCUCUUGGAACUGCGUGGCUGGAGUGCAGGAGGGGCAGGCGGAAUUCCUGGUGUAGCGGUGAAAUGCGUAGAUAUCAGGAGGAACACCGGUGGCGAAGGCGGCCUGCUGGACUGCAACUGACGUUGAGGCCC